GUGGGGAAUUUUGGACAAUGGGCGCAAGCCUGAUCCAGCAAUGCCGCGUGCAGGAAGAAGGCCUUCGGGUUGUAAACUGCUUUUGUACGGAACGAAACGGUCCUGGCUAAUAUCCGGGGCUAAUGACGGUACCGUAAGAAUAAGCACCGGCUAACUACGUGCCAGCAGCCGCGGUAAUACGUAGGGUGCGAGCGUUAAUCGGAAUUACUGGGCGUAAAGCGUGCGCAGGCGGUGCUGUAAGACAGGCGUGAAAUCCCCGGGCUCAACCGGGGAAUUGCGCUGGUGACUGCAGUGCUGGAGUGCGGCAGAGGGGGAUGGAAUUCCGCGUGUAGCAGUGAAAUGCGUAGAUAUGCGGAGGAACACCGAUGGCGAAGGCAAUCCCCUGGGCCUGCACUGACGCUCAUGCACGAAAGCGUGGGGAGCAAACAGGAUUAGAUACCCCGGUAGUCC
RNAcentral lists this ribosomal RNA (450 nucleotides) under uncultured bacterium. Its description in RNAcentral is "partial 16S ribosomal RNA". It matches the Rfam family "Bacterial small subunit ribosomal RNA", at positions 354 to 796 of the family's 1533-position model. The record is from RNAcentral.